RNAcentral lists this transfer RNA (68 nucleotides) under Marmota monax (woodchuck). RNAcentral's name for it is "tRNA.Ala". Lineage: Eukaryota; Metazoa; Chordata; Mammalia; Rodentia; Sciuridae. The record is from RNAcentral.
GGAUUGUGGCUUGGUGGCAGAGCACUUGACUAGCAUGUGUGAGGCACUGGGUUCAAUUCCCAGCACCA